This 497-nucleotide long non-coding RNA is filed under the name Capra hircus (goat). RNAcentral's name for it is "lncRNA (ENSCHIG00010022259.1)". Lineage: Eukaryota; Metazoa; Chordata; Mammalia; Artiodactyla; Bovidae. The record is from RNAcentral.
GAGGGUCACACAUCUUGGAAAAAACUCCAAGGUUUUUCAUCAUCGCAGAAUCCCUUACACUGAAAUUUAAUGACCAAGCAAAAUGGCAGUUUAUUUCUAAUCAGGAGAGAUUGUUCUUUUCUCCUUUCCACUUCUUCAUCCCUCCCCGAUCACAGAGAGGAAAAGAAUGGCCCUUCUCUGCUCCUGACUCAGAAUGCACAUCAGCCAAAGUCAGAAGGACAAACCCUCCUCCAGAGCGACUGUCCCCACCUCUGCUGCAAGCCCACUUCUGGUGGCAAUUCAUUGGCCGCCUCCUACACACCAUUUCCCGGACAAAUUCCACCUGGAAGAGUUCAGGGAUAGAAAAAGGUUGCUCCUCUUAAAGAACCAACGCAAUGCUUAUGAUUAGCCAAGGAGGGCUGUGUAAUUUAGACAGUUUCUCUCUUUGCCUGGCUGCUGGAAAGCCCAGAGCUGGAAACUGGACUUCUUUUUCUUGGCAGGGUGGGGGGCUGGGGGGG